CCUACGGGAGGCAGCAGUGAGGAAUAUUGGUCAAUGGACGAGAGUCUGAACCAGCCAAGUAGCGUGAAGGAUGACUGCCCUAUGGGUUGUAAACUUCUUUUAUAUGGGAAUAAAACGUUCCACGUGUGGGAUUUUGUAUGUACCAUAUGAAUAAGGAUCGGCUAACUCCGUGCCAGCAGCCGCGGUCAUACGGCGGAUCCGAGCGUUAUCCGGAUUUAUUGGGUUUAAAGGGAGCGUAGGUGGAUUGUUAAGUCAGUUGUGAAAGUUUGCGGCUCAACCGUAAAAUUGCAGUUGAAACUGGCAGUCUUGAGUACAGUAGAGGUGGGCGGAAUUCGUGGUGUAGCGGUGAAAUGCUUAGAUAUCACGAAGAACUCCGAUUGCGAAGGCAGUUCACUGGACUGCAACUGACACUGAGGCUCGAAAGUGUGGGUAUCAAACAGGAUUAGAUACCCUUGUAGUC
This 460-nucleotide ribosomal RNA is filed under the name uncultured bacterium. RNAcentral's name for it is "partial 16S ribosomal RNA". It matches the Rfam family "Bacterial small subunit ribosomal RNA", at positions 338 to 795 of the family's 1533-position model. The record is from RNAcentral.